GAUUAUAUUGUUCUAGUAUCAGUUAUUUAGUAAGUUUUUAAUUGUUGUGAUGUUUUUUUAUUUUAGUUCGUUACUUGUUUUGUUAUAUGGUUCUAUCUUAUCUUCUAAGGGUGUUUUGAGAUGACAGUGGACCAAAAUCCCUUAUUGAAGUUGCCUGGUUCUCUCAUUUUGGAUCAAUCUGUACAUCAUUUGGUGUACAAACUUCUCAUGUGGAGGCUUAG
Molecule: long non-coding RNA, 221 nt
Filed under: Elaeis guineensis (African oil palm)
Lineage: Eukaryota; Viridiplantae; Streptophyta; Magnoliopsida; Arecales; Arecaceae
Description: long non-coding RNA (EGUI_LNC001143)
Source: RNAcentral